CGGUGCUUCCCCACCCAUCUCGGGGGCCGUUCUGGGAAUCCCCCUCUCAGACCCUCGCCAGAAAGCGAAGGAAGUCAAGGCGGAGAGAAGAACGCCGGGAAUGAAGACCCUCGUCAUUGACAGCGGGAACUGGACGCAGACCCAGAACUCCAGGAAACCGAAAGCCAGAAGGGCAGAGGAAGCGUUGUGAACACACAAGCCUGAGGCAGUCUCAGCUGCAAACUGCUGAGAACCGAUCUGCAAGCCCAGAACCUCUUGGGAGCAAAGGAAAGCACAGAGGAUUGGGGACCUGAGAGAACCUACAAUCUGGUAAUGAAGUUUCCCCCCAUCCCCUCACUUCCACAUCCUUGUGGGGCCGCCUGGUGCAGAGAACCUAAAGGUUUGGGGGAA
This is a long non-coding RNA of Ornithorhynchus anatinus (platypus), 390 nucleotides long. RefSeq lists it as uncharacterized. The record is from RefSeq and is a predicted model, not a curated record. Lineage: Eukaryota; Metazoa; Chordata; Mammalia; Monotremata; Ornithorhynchidae. The transcript has 2 exons.